This is a long non-coding RNA of Rosa rugosa (rugosa rose), 1480 nucleotides long. RefSeq lists it as uncharacterized. Lineage: Eukaryota; Viridiplantae; Streptophyta; Magnoliopsida; Rosales; Rosaceae. The transcript is spliced from 6 exons. The record is from RefSeq and is a predicted model, not a curated record.
UUCGAUAUUUCCUUCUCACUCCGGUAGAGAGAGGGAGCGCGCGAAGAAAGUGGUGCUGUUUGUCAGCAUCUACAACCUUCCCUGCUACGCCGUUCCUUUUGUCCUCCAUGUUCUCAGCUGUGUUCCUCUGAUUAGCUGCUGGCUGAGAAUUGCACAACCGCUGUUUUACCCGCAUCUGAGGACUCUUGGCAGCAUCAGCUCCUCCGGUGCAACCGAUUUGCGGAGGAGGCGAGAGUAAAAAGAAAGAGAGAGAAGAGGAAAUAAGAGAAAGAAGAAAAAGAAGGAGACGAAAAGCUCUCUGGGUUUUCUUUGAUCGGUUGGUAUUUGUGGGAAUCUGAUGUGGUUUUUGUCUUCUUUCUUGGAUUUCUUAUGUGUAGUUACUGUAUUUGUCUUCGGCUGGCCAAUGGAAGAUUCGUCUUCAGCUGACCAAGCCUGUUACUUAGCCUCCAUUGGUAUGGGGAGUUUGCGGAGCUGCUGCCUCUGAUCUUAUAAGAUUUUGAGUGUAUUGGAGUUUACUCUUACUGUACAUUUUCGAAAGCAAGAGGGGGAGGUUGCAAUCAUAUUCUGGUUUUCUACUUAAAGGUUGUACUGAUCUACGAAAAAUGUUAUGGAUGGUUUAAGUCCAUCUAGGAACAGCACUGGGUUGCAAUGUAUGAGAGUAAUAAUGGUUCCAAGUUAUUAGAAGAAGAUGCAGAGAAUAGAAAGAUUUACAGGUGGGGAGUAACAUCCUUCCAAUUCUGAACGUCCUCCAUGUACAUACUGAAACGAAAAGAUUUUGCCUUUUUUCCCUUUGGAGAAGAGCAUGACAGGGGAGAGCUUGGAGAUGUAUAAUGGUGCUCAUUGCUCCUUCCAAACACAGAACAUGGGGUUGAAGGCCAGUUACUGUUUUAAUAGUUUAGUUAGCAGCAAAUCUAUAAUUUAGAGUUGUGAUUUGUUGGAAGGGUGGAGUAGCAUAGAGUCACAGAGUGUUGAAGUUACAAAGGAACUUUAAUCACUUUUGGUGUAAUUACACAGGUAUCUACACUUUGGUGAAGUGCUUAGGCUUAGAUUGUAGGGACAAUAUCUUGACAUUUCUGUAUGAGGGAAUACAUUUUGAUCAGCUACCAUCUCUAGCUUGCAGAGAAAUUGAAAUGCAUACGAAGCAUAGAACUAUCAUUUUAGGGGUCUUGAUAUUUUUCUUCUUCCUGCAAGCAAGAAAAAGCAACGAAGAUAUAGAAAGAACAAAGCAUAUGAAGUUGUCGGAUACUCAAAGUAGGGAGAUUGCCUCCAAGUAUAUGACAAAGCAUAUGAAGUUAUCAGAUACUCAAAGUGGGGAGACUUAUAUGGCAAUCUUUUGUACUGAAAUCACAUCUGCCAUUUUGUGAUGAGAUAAUGGUUACACAUAUUUAUAGCAUAUAGAAUGCAGUUCCUAGAACUGAGUAGACACAAUAUAACUAAACUCAUAAAUAAUUUUGCUUCAUUUUAUUACAUCUAUCUUUCA